UUUAAUUGAAGAGUUUGAUCAUGGCUCAGAUUGAACGCUGGCGGCAGGCCUAACACAUGCAAGUCGAGCGGCAGCGACAUAA
RNAcentral lists this ribosomal RNA (82 nucleotides) under Vibrio eleionomae. RNAcentral describes it as "partial 16S ribosomal RNA". It matches the Rfam family "Bacterial small subunit ribosomal RNA", at positions 1 to 80 of the family's 1533-position model. The record is from RNAcentral. Lineage: Bacteria; Pseudomonadati; Pseudomonadota; Gammaproteobacteria; Vibrionales; Vibrionaceae.